Misgurnus anguillicaudatus (oriental weatherfish) is the source of this 812-nucleotide non-coding RNA. The record is from RefSeq and is a predicted model, not a curated record. NCBI's taxonomy places the organism in Eukaryota, Metazoa, Chordata, Actinopteri, Cypriniformes, Cobitidae.
GGCUGCAGGAUCUAAGCCGAGAGGUUCAAACUUCUGCUUCCAGAGGGCCAUCCCUUUAAGCUCGCUCAGAUGAUACAGCAAAGCCUCAGAGCCACUGUGACUUAUAACAAGUUUCUGGAUGCCGGAGUAGGACGAAUCAGUGGAUUGACCCAACAUCUUCAAUCCCUAAAAAGAAACAAAAAAAAUACUGUAAAAACAUACAAUAAGGCUGGUAUAACUGUUUCAGAGAACCUGUUCAGAUAAAUUCACCUUGACUCUGAUGGUCAUAUGAUGCCCCCUGUUGGAGAUUUAAGAAUUGCGUCACCUUGCAUGGCCCCAUAGCAGCAGCUCCAAAAACUCAUCCUGUACCUGAGUGCUUGUGUUUUUUUCCUGUGUAAUAACAUCAUCAUUUACCAAGAAACAAAUCACAGAUUGUAUACUAGAACCAUACUGCCCUACUGAAUAUUAUGGUUGUGACUAGGGUGUGAUGACAUCUAACCUGGACAAACUUAGUAAGUCGAAGGUCCAUCUGUGUAAGAAUGUCUUCCCAUGCUUCACACAUACAGGUCUCCAGGCGAGUGAUGUGAUCUCUUUUCCUGUGUUCUCAUUGGGUGGUAAACUCCACACACGCUGGAAGUUGGCAAGGCGAUGCAGAAGCAGCUGUAAUGACAGAUAUGUGUAAUGAAGUUACACAUUUGAAACUCUAUUUUAUGGUAACUAAAGACUGUUAACUGAUUCAAACUGUAUAUGUGAACAGCCCUGUGAGAAGUUAUAUUAAUGUGAUUGUGUAUAAACAACACUAUACAGUAGCAAAAAAAAAAAGAUGUAUGUUA